CAGUCCUUAUCCCCAGGAAAGAAAGACUGGAAGCUUUGGCUUUGUGGUGCAGUUUGUGGACCAGGUUUGGCACUCUAUGGGCAGCAAGAGCUUUCUGUGCUGGCAUCUUGUUCUGGGAGUAAUCUUUGUUUGUGCGCAAUUAUGGAUUUCGUGCUGGCAUUUGGGAAGCAGGUCUGAAAACAGGAAACAACAACCCUUAUUGCCAGGUAAGAAAGACUGGAAGAUUUGGC
Molecule: long non-coding RNA, 230 nt
Organism: Chiroxiphia lanceolata (lance-tailed manakin)
Lineage: Eukaryota; Metazoa; Chordata; Aves; Passeriformes; Pipridae
Exons: 3
Source: RefSeq, a predicted model, not a curated record